Heterocephalus glaber (naked mole-rat) is the source of this 308-nucleotide non-coding RNA. The record is from RefSeq and is a predicted model, not a curated record. Lineage: Eukaryota; Metazoa; Chordata; Mammalia; Rodentia; Bathyergidae.
GCGUAGAGGAGGCAGUGUCAAAGAUGGCAGCAUUAAAGCUAAAAGCCUGGAUGCGGAUGUAACUGUCUGUGUACAGCAGAGAGGAUACAAAGCACAGAAGAAGCCCUAUGUCUCCCUUGUGUGCUAACUCACAUGAGUGCUGUCUGGACAUGCAACUCUUUUGAGGGAGUCUAGGAUGACAUAAAAAUCAACUUACAUCACAGAGAGCACAGCAAGGGAGAAAAAAAUCUUCAUACCAUCAAAGUUGCUGGAGCCAGGAGGAGACUGUGAAGUGGGGUGGGAAGCAGUUGGUGGAGGAAAUAUCAAGA